Girardinichthys multiradiatus is the source of this 1965-nucleotide long non-coding RNA. RefSeq lists it as uncharacterized. The record is from RefSeq and is a predicted model, not a curated record. NCBI's taxonomy places the organism in Eukaryota, Metazoa, Chordata, Actinopteri, Cyprinodontiformes, Goodeidae. The transcript is spliced from 2 exons.
GAGAGGUAACCUAAAGGUCAUACACUUUGGAACACUUUAGAGUACUUAAUAAAAUAAUUUCCAUUACACUUUUGUUCUGCUUGUCGACCAAUAACCAGCGUGCUUCAAGAAACCUUGUCGCUACUUAACAGCUCCUAUGAAAAAUAAUGUGUUUCUUCACGAUGGACCAAGCUCAACGUGUUGCAAACAAACUGAAUCGCGGCUGUUACAGCGCUUCGCUAUGGGACUACAUGUUCAGCAGUAUCACCGCUGGACUCUCUUCAGAUUCUGAAUCAGAAGGAGAUGAAGCGGAAGAUGAUAGCGACUGCAUUACUUUGGAGAACAUUCCUAGUUUGCAGCUGUCUUCAACCCAAGACGAGGAUGACAAAGAAAGCUUUGGAUGGGUGGCUGAGGAGCUAGAACGUAAGAUAUCAGAAGCUAAUGCUGUCACAACAUUUGAGGAAAACAGAGACAGUGAAAUGGAGAAGAUGCGUAACUUUGACUAUAAAUGCUAUGGAAGGAGAAAGGAGAACUCUUCACUUGGGACAAAGUCCUGUAGCCGCAAACUUUCACCAGAGAUCAUGUACAACAUACAGAUGGAUUCUUUAGCAGCAGAAAGGGAGUGGCAGGACAUGAGAAUAAUUGGACAUCUUGAUGCAAACCGGCGUACGCAAGAAACUUCAGCAAUGACCACAUCCACCAAGAAUACACCAAGGAAAAGAAAACAUGCCAGGACAACUUAUUCCAUCGGAGGUAUCGAAGUCUACCGAAAUACCUUUCAGUUUCUCAUGGGGUGAGUUUAUAACUUUUUUAAAAACUAUUAUGAUGCAUCAUACUGUAAAUAAAUCAUGUACUGAAGCGGACAAAUCACAUAAACCUGACCAGUUAAAUAUUAAAAUCGACUUGAGUGGGGUUUGUGUUUGUAUUUUUAAUCUAAGCUUGAGGUUGUGUUUUUUUCUUCCCCAUGCACUGGGUGAUCGGUGGUCACAACAACAGUUUUUUGGCUAGCGUAGAUACACGAGUUUAGCCGGACAAUCACUGUAUCCCAUGUGAAAAUUUACUUGAGUGGGGGAAGGGGGUUCUAUUUUCAAUCUAAGCUUGAGAUGUUUUUUUUUCUUCCCCCUGCACUGGGUGAUCAGUGUUCACAAAAGUUUUUUGGCUAGCGUAGCUACACAAGGUUAGCAUCUACUGUAUCCCAUUCACAAUGUGAAAAUCGACUUGAGUGGGGGGGUUGUAUUUUUAAUCAAAGUUUGACGUGUUGAAAAAAAACAAAAAACAAAUACCUAUUAACCUGUUGUGUUGUCAUACCAAUUUUGUCAACACUCGUUGAUCUAAAACCAUGAGCUGAAAUUUCCUUUGUUUCCCCUGCUCAGAAUCUGUAAAGCCACAUUGACUGACAUCAUCAGACACUUUGAUGAGAACGGUGCAAGACCCCGCUUGAGGAAAAAGAGCCAACGGUUACAGGAUCUCCAUUUUAAGAAGUGCAAACCUUCCAGAGGAGAGGAAGACUGCAGCAAUCAAGAAGCAACAGGAUCAUCUUCAGCUUGUUCAAAAAGAGAUGGCCGUCUACAACGAGAUGACUGCUGCCUACAAAAGACCUGCGAUGACUAUCAGUUGUCCAUCGGCCCCUCACCACCUUCAACUUUGUUGCCAAAAGACCUGGUGUGGUCCUAGCUAGGACUCACAGCGACGCAGAGCCUGUUAGCUUUCAGCUGCUGUGUGACCAGGACGUUCUACCCCCUCUCGUCUGUGUUCCUGCCCUGCCUGCACCUGGACUGGCCAUGGACAGGCAGACUUAUCUUUAUUCAAAGAUCAGGCCUUUCUGUUCCGAUGAAGCGAAGGACAUUACGUGCCCAGCAUCACAAAGCACAACACAGAAUAACACGCAGAAGAGGAUGAUGGUGUGACACUGUGACAUUGGCGUUUUGGCAAUUUGUAAUGUGUAUAAAGUUGUAAAUAAAAAUCACAUUUGUGACAUGAUCAAAG